RNAcentral lists this ribosomal RNA (265 nucleotides) under uncultured Atopobium sp. RNAcentral describes it as "partial 16S ribosomal RNA". It matches the Rfam family "Bacterial small subunit ribosomal RNA", at positions 91 to 355 of the family's 1533-position model. Lineage: Bacteria; Bacillati; Actinomycetota; Coriobacteriia; Coriobacteriales; Atopobiaceae. The record is from RNAcentral.
UAAAGUGGCGAACGGCUGAGUAACACGUGGGCAACCUGCCCUUUGCACUGGGAUAGCCUCGGGAAACCGAGGUUAAUACCGGAUACUCCAUAUUUGUCGCAUGGCGAAUAUGGGAAAGCUCCGGCGGCAAAGGAUGGGCCCGUGGCCUGUUAGCUAGUUGGUGGGGUAGUGGCCUACCAAGGCAAUGAUGGGUAGCCGGGUUGAGAGACCGACCGGCCAGAUUGGGACUGAGACACGGCCCAGACUCCUACGGGAGGCAGCAGCC